RNAcentral lists this non-coding RNA (185 nucleotides) under Symbiodinium sp. CCMP2430. The record is from RNAcentral. Lineage: Eukaryota; Dinophyceae; Suessiales; Symbiodiniaceae.
ACUGAAUGAAAUGAAGCAAAAGACCAAAGGGAGAAGGAAGGGUAAAGAAACGAAGAGAAUGCACGCCUUCCUUUUUCCUUUGCUCUUUUGUUCACUUCAUUCACCCAACUCACGGUCUGGUUCUUGUUCUCUUUCCUCUUUGUUCUUUGGCCUAAUUUCAUGCUUAAUUUCCUUACCAUUAUAAA